CAGCUCUGCUGGCCCAUUGGGCGAGUUCCAGGGGAGAGCGGGGUCCCAAGCAAGGCUGGCUGCCCUAUCCUAGUCCUGCAAGUCAGCUGGAGAUGCUGAUUUGGAAGCUUUUGGGGCUCUGCUCGAUUUCCUGUCUGCAGAGCGACAGCUGGGAUGGGAGGAAUUGUUUCUCACCCUCAUGGGUGUCUCGGAGAAGUACUGCCUCCUGAAGGUGCCACCUCCCUGCUGGGGAAGGCUUCCAUCUGACCCAACUGUCCCGCUUCCUUUCCCUAGUGAUGGCCCAAGAGGCUGUGCAGGAGGUGGCGUUUCCAGAAGAACACAGCAACUCCCUGCCAGUCCCGGGUGGAGCGACAGAGGCCAUGCCAGGGACACCUCUGCAGCUUCAGAGGUCGGGAUGGAAGCCGGCAGUCACCCCCAGCACCCAGAAAAACCGUCCAGCCGCCCUGACACCCCAGGAACCCCAACCCAACACUAGGAGCUGCCUCUCCAGCAUGCGUCACCGGCACGGCCACCCUCCCCGGAGCCCUCUUGCCCUGACAGCCCAAAAUCCCCAACUAGUGCUGAGGGUCUUCCAGUGUUCCUGCAGGGACCGUUCUCACCAGGGCCUCUACACCCAACAGCUCCGGCUGCGGAGAUUGACUCAGGGAGCUCCUCUGGGAUCCCCCACACCUUGCAGGGUAGGAGACCAGACCCUUGCCCGCAGCGCCAUGCCUUUGGCUCUGGCCGCCACCCCAAGGUCAGCCCGCGGCUCCCUAGGGGUCACUGCUUCUCCCGCUGGUCACUGCUCCCCAGGUGGGCUCAGCUCUGGGAGAGGCUGGCCAGGGUGGCCGGGCUCCAGCAGUCCGUUGCCCAUGCAGUGGCUGGUGCCCCCGCUCCUGGAGGGCUGCCUCACCAUUGCUCACCACUGUCUGCCCAGAGACAGGGACGCCGUGCUCAGGUCCUGAUCCUGUCUCACAAGGUUGUCACUCGGUCUGUGCCGUGUGGCCAUGGCCACUCCACUUGGUAGGAGCCACGCUUCCUCCUGCUCCUACUAAGUGAGAAACAUGACACUAAAACAUGUGAGAAAACAGGAUGUCUCAAAUCUUGAUUGCUGCAAGAUAUCUACCACCUGUCUACAUGAUAGAACAUCAAAGGAGGGACAUCCUUGGAUCUCAAAGACGCUAUAGCUUGUUUGCACCAAGAAACUCCUCUGCAGCUCAUCUGCCGUGUAGGCCCCAGCACUGCCCAGGGGCAGAGGCAAGGGGGGCUCACACAGCAACCAUGUGGGACAAUAAUUGGACAACCAUAGGUCACUGUCAUGUUGAUUGGUGAAACCAUGAGUUGAAAGUGACAAUAAAUUACUGAUGCCCCUCGCUGCA
Molecule: long non-coding RNA, 1358 nt
Filed under: Calidris pugnax (ruff)
Lineage: Eukaryota; Metazoa; Chordata; Aves; Charadriiformes; Scolopacidae
Description: lncRNA (ENSCPUG00000000366.1)
Source: RNAcentral